This 447-nucleotide ribosomal RNA is filed under the name uncultured bacterium. RNAcentral's name for it is "bacterial SSU rRNA". It matches the Rfam family "Bacterial small subunit ribosomal RNA", at positions 329 to 793 of the family's 1533-position model. The record is from RNAcentral.
GGCCAGACUCCUACGGGAGGCAGCAGUGGGGAAUAUUGCACAAUGGGGGAAACCCUGAUGCAGCGACGCCGCGUGAGUGAAGAAGUAAUUCGUUAUGUAAAGCUCUAUCAGCAGGGAAGAAAAUGACGGUACCUGAGUAAGAAGCCCCGGCUAACUACGUGCCAGCAGCCGCGGUAAUACGUAGGGGGCAAGCGUUAUCCGGAUUUACUGGGUGUAAAGGGAGCGCAGGCGGCGCGUUAAGCCUGGUGUGAAAGCCCGCGGCCCAACCGCGGGACUGCAUUGGGAACUGGCGCGCUGGAGUGCCGGAGGGGUAGGCGGAAUUCCUAGUGUAGCGGUGAAAUGCGUAGAUAUUAGGAGGAGCACCAGUGGCGAAGGCGGCCUGCUGGACGACAACUGACGGUGAGGCGCGAAAGCGUGGGGAGCAAACAGGAUUAGAUACCCCGGUAU